GAUGAACGCUGGCGGCGUGCCUAAUACAUGCAAGUCGAGCGAACAGACCAGGAGCUUGCUCCUCUGACGUUAGCGGCGGACGGGUGAGUAACACGUGGAUAACCUACCUAUAAGACUGGGAUAACUUCGGGAAACCGGAGCUAAUACCGGAUAAUAUAUUGAACCGCAUGGUUCAAUAGUGAAAGACGGUUUUGCUGUCACUUAUGGAUGGAUCCGCGCCGCAUUAGCUAGUUGGUAAGGUAACGGCUUACCAAGGCAACGAUGCGUAGCCGACCGGAGAGGGGGAUCGGCCGCACGGGAACUGAGACACGCACCAGACUCCUGCGGGAGGCAGCAGUAGGCAAUCUGCCGCAGUGGGCGAAAGCCUGACGGAGCAACGCAGCGUGAGUGAUGGAGGUCUUGGGAGCGUGAUACUCUGUUAUUAGGGAAGAACAAAUGUGUAAGUAACUAUGCACGUCUUGACGGUACCUAAUCAGGAAGCCACGGCUAACUACGUG
RNAcentral lists this ribosomal RNA (497 nucleotides) under uncultured bacterium. RNAcentral's name for it is "partial 16S ribosomal RNA". It matches the Rfam family "Bacterial small subunit ribosomal RNA", at positions 28 to 507 of the family's 1533-position model. The record is from RNAcentral.